UACGUAGGGUGCAAGCGUUGUCCGGAAUUAUUGGGCGUAAAGAGCUCGUAGGCGGUCUGUCGCGUCUGCUGUGAAAACUCAGGGCUUAACCCUGAGCUUGCAGUGGGUACGGGCAGACUAGAGUGCGGUAGGGGAGACUGGAAUUCCUGGUGUAGCGGUGAAAUGCGCAGAUAUCAGGAGGAACACCGGUGGCGAAGGCAGCUCGCUGGGACGGUACUUACGCUGAGGCGCGAAAGCGUGGGGAGCAAACAGG
Molecule: ribosomal RNA, 253 nt
Filed under: uncultured bacterium
Lineage: Bacteria
Description: partial 16S ribosomal RNA
Rfam family: Bacterial small subunit ribosomal RNA
Source: RNAcentral